RNAcentral lists this ribosomal RNA (444 nucleotides) under uncultured bacterium. RNAcentral's name for it is "partial 16S ribosomal RNA". It matches the Rfam family "Bacterial small subunit ribosomal RNA", at positions 354 to 795 of the family's 1533-position model. The record is from RNAcentral.
GUGAGGAAUAUUGGUCAAUGGACGAGAGUCUGAACCAGCCAAGUCGCGUGAAGGAAGACGGUUCUAUGAAUUGUAAACUUCUUUUGUGCAGGAAUAAAGUGGGUUACGUGUAACCUUUUGUAUGUACUGUACGAAUAAGGAUCGGCUAACUCCGUGCCAGCAGCCGCGGUAAUACGGAGGAUCCGAGCGUUAUCCGGAUUUAUUGGGUUUAAAGGGUGCGUAGGUGGAUUGAUAAGUCAGCGGUGAAAGUUUGCAGCUUAACUGUAAAAUUGCCGUUGAAACUGUCGGUCUUGAGUGCAAAUGAGGUAGGCGGAAUGUGUUGUGUAGCGGUGAAAUGCUUAGAUAUAACACAGAACUCCGAUUGCGAAGGCAGCUUACUGGGAUGCAACUGACACUGAUGCACGAAAGCGUGGGUAUCAAACAGGAUUAGAUACCCUAGUAGUC